UAAUUUGUCUAGGACAAAUCAUUAUCUAGUCGUGGUAGAUCCAAUCCUAACUGCUCAACAUCAUUUGUUAUCUCAAGCCCGACUACAUCAUAUAGUUUUUAUCAUCAAAUUAUUUUUAAGAUUCCUAUAUCUUAAA
Molecule: non-coding RNA, 136 nt
Organism: Populus trichocarpa (black cottonwood)
Lineage: Eukaryota; Viridiplantae; Streptophyta; Magnoliopsida; Malpighiales; Salicaceae
Source: Rfam